AUCCUUCAAUAAAUUCCGAGGGGGGUGCUUGGAGAAUGAAGACAUCUGUCGGAUCCCAAGUAAACCCUUUGAAAAUAUUUCGCGCAAACUUGAUGCCGUGCAGACGCAAACUUGACGUGUAGAGUGUAGACCGAAAAGGUAAUCAUAAGUCAUAACAACUCAGAACAGCAGGACGAAUUGAACAAGAAACUGGAAGAAGUAAGCAAUAAAACGAUUCAUUCAAUAUCCGAAACGCAAGAAUUGAUCCAGCAACUGACGGCCUACACAUGUCAACAAAUGUUGGAGGAGACAACGACCAAAAUGGAGAAUCUUUGUAAUCAGUUGUCGAUUAAGAAUGAACACAAUAGAAAUUUUGACAGAAAGACUCGCAAAGCAGAAUACAUAUUAGCUGGCCAAGAGACCUCUCAGCGAUUAAUAUGCUGAUUUGGAAAAACAAAUUGCUUAUCUUAAGUUUCAGUUGUCUGAAAAGGCUAUUGAACUCCAGUGCAAGGAAAGGAAGAUUGAGGAAACUGAGAAUGCCUUGAAAGACUUGUCGCUACAUUCUCAUAGCAAUGAACAGUUGACCAUUGUCGAAGAAAGCAAUCGCGAACUUUAGGGAAAAUUUGAUGAAAAGGCCCAGGAACUUGAAGCUGCUCUUGUUUGUCGAGAGAAUUCGCAGCGAUUAAAAGCCGAUCUCGAUAAGUCAAAGUCAAUAGAACUACAGUAGAGCGGAUGGAAGAAAUGGAGAGAGCCUUAGAUGAAUUGACACUAAAGUCUCUUAACACUGAGCGGGCAGAAUCCUGCCGAUCAGAAGUGGACAACUGGACAUGCCGAGACAAAAAGAAAAGUUGGAGAUAGACGCUUU
RNAcentral lists this long non-coding RNA (844 nucleotides) under Daphnia pulicaria. RNAcentral's name for it is "uncharacterized LOC124343863, transcript variant X4". Lineage: Eukaryota; Metazoa; Arthropoda; Branchiopoda; Diplostraca; Daphniidae. The record is from RNAcentral.